UGUUUUUAUGUUUUUGAGUUAGUUUAGAGGUUUUAGCAAGCCCUCCUAAUCCCCGGUUUAGAACGAUCCCUAUUUGCAUUAUUACUACAAUUUGACAACAAGAGGGUUUAAUUUGUGUGUUAAGUUAAUUUUCGCAUCAGGAAUUAAGUUCCUUUAUUCAAUUGGAAUGUAAAGGAAAUCUUUGUUUUUCAUUUUCUUUGGUAGUUCAUAGGAGGAAGCAAGUACUACCUGCUUUCGCAAAGAUCUACAUUUGAUUCACGUUCCGAAUGUGAAGUACUUUCUCUUCUCUCAUUAAUCUUCUACUUCUAUUAGCCACACUUUUACAACGAUUGUAAAACAUAGUUACUAAUACGGAAUCAAGCAUUCAAGUAGAAGAACCAAUUGUUUUGAACUAUUCAAGAACAAUUUACAACACCUUCGAAAGGUGUGUUCUUGACACUUGCAAGACAUUUCUUGCAAAUACCCCUUCCAAUGUCCAUCCUUUCAUAAAGAAAGUUUGUUCCCUUGGAGUUAUUUCGCCUUCUUCAUUUGACUUCUCCUUUGACUAUGAAGGAAAUUUUGUGAAAAACAUGUUCAUUUAAGCAACAUCUAUAGCAUGCAAUUAACAAUUAAAAGGCGGAAUCAUGCUUGCAUGCACUCAAAAACAAAACAUCAACCAUGAAAUUCAAAGCCUAGUAGAUUGGUGAACCUUGACCCAACUUAAAACAACAUUUGUUAGUUGAGAAAUUACACCUUUGUAGAUUCCUCUUUGCAUAAGCAAAGGCUAAUCACCCAAAGAGAGGGCCUUCAUUCCUUGCAUCUUAUAUCUAUGGAUUUGGAUGGAUGAAAUGCUUCUCCAAGUUCCCAAAAUUGAGAACCUCUAAGUCUCUUCACCAAGGUUAGAUUGGAGAAGAAAUGAGUGACCUUGGAGUAAUAGGAUUGCUAGCUAAACCCUCCAAGGAGGCCGGCCACUUUAGAGAGAAAGGAGAGCUUAUGUUCUCAUCCUUUCCCCCA
RNAcentral lists this long non-coding RNA (993 nucleotides) under Malus domestica (apple). RNAcentral's name for it is "long non-coding RNA (MDOM_LNC005930)". Lineage: Eukaryota; Viridiplantae; Streptophyta; Magnoliopsida; Rosales; Rosaceae. The record is from RNAcentral.